This 433-nucleotide ribosomal RNA is filed under the name uncultured bacterium. Its description in RNAcentral is "partial 16S ribosomal RNA". It matches the Rfam family "Bacterial small subunit ribosomal RNA", at positions 29 to 507 of the family's 1533-position model. The record is from RNAcentral.
AACGAACGCUGGCGGCAUGCCUAACACAUGCAAGUCGAACGAAAACUUCGGGUCUAGUUGCGCACGGCUGCGUAACGCGUGGGAAGCUGCACUUAGGUUCGGAAUAACUGCCCGAGGGAGAUGCUAAUACCAGUUAAUGUCAUCGGACAAAAGAUUUUUCGCCUUUGGGUGGGCCCGCGUUGGAUUCGCUAGUUGGUAGGGUACAAGCCUACCAACGCGACGAUGCAUAGCUGGUCGGGGAGGAGGAUCUGCUGCACUGGGGCUGAGACACGGACCAGACUCCUACGGAAGGGAGCGGUGGGUAAUACUGUACGAGGGGCGAAGGUGUGAUACAGCAACGUGGCGGAAGUGGUGAAGGCCGUAGGGUUGUAAAGCUGUUUUACCCGAGAUGAGAGUGACAGUACCGGGAGAAGAAGCACCGGCUAACUCCGUG